GCCGGGCGUUGUGGCGGGCGCCUGUGGUCCCAGCUACUUGGGAGGCGGAGGCAGGAGACUCGCUUGAGCCCAGGAGUUGGAGGUUGCUGUGAGCAGUGAAGUCAUAGCACUCUACCCAGGGGGACAGCUUGAGGCUCUGUCUCAAAAAAAAAAAAAAAAAAAUUUGUCUUUAAAGGAAAAGGGCUAAUGUUUCUGUCUUCAGGCUUUAAGAAAACAUAUUUUUUUUUUUUUUUUUUUUUGAGACGGAGCCUCAAGCUAUCCCCCUGGGUAGAGUGCCAUGGCAUCACGCUCACAGCAACCUCCAACUCCUGGGCUCAAGCGAGUCUCCUGCCUCCGC
Molecule: non-coding RNA, 337 nt
Organism: Otolemur garnettii (small-eared galago)
Lineage: Eukaryota; Metazoa; Chordata; Mammalia; Primates; Galagidae
Source: Rfam